This 1802-nucleotide unclassified non-coding RNA is filed under the name Hevea brasiliensis (rubber tree). The record is from RNAcentral. Lineage: Eukaryota; Viridiplantae; Streptophyta; Magnoliopsida; Malpighiales; Euphorbiaceae.
AUAUGGUGUUGCUUGUGGUGUCAGCGCCUAGUUCAUGUUGAUUGUCAUGCCAAUAUGUUCAAUGAAACAGGUGAUAUAUGUGACCUGGGCCCUUUCAGAAGGCUUAUUCUAUCGCCGCUUUAUGUGAAAGAGUUGAACAGGGGAGGACUGCUGAGUUCUAUCACACAAGGUGCCAAUGAAAUUGCUUCUUCAGUCCGCGCUAGUAUAAUAAGUCAAAGCAAGAAAUACAAGCACAGUAAAGAAAAACAUGAGAAUUUGACCUCUGCAGAGACAAGCAAUGGUGGUGGUGUUGGGGACACAACUACUGAAUGCACUGCUGAUUCUCAUCAAGUGAAUGGUAAUGGUAAUAUAGAUGAAAACUGCAAUAGUGGUGUAAAUAUAGAGGGUGCGGAUCAGCAGCAAGACGGUGGUGUUAAAAAGUUGAUAUCUAUACCCAGCUUCAAGAGGAGUUCAUCCAUUAAUCAGAAGGAUGAAUCUCAAUUAAUAGGGCAGAAAUAUGAAUUGACUGAUUUGCCUCCAGAUGCUAGGCCUCUGCUAGUUUUCCUAAACAAGAAAAGUGGAGCUCAGCGAGGAGAUUCACUUAGGCAGCGAUUGAACAUUUUGUUAAAUCCUGUGCAGGUCUUUGAGUUGAGCUCAACAGAAGGACCCGAAAUAGGUCUUUAUCUAUUCAGAAGUGUCCCUCACUUCCGGAUUCUCGUUUGUGGAGGAGAUGGAACUGUUGGUUGGGUUUUGAACGCUAUAGAUAAACAGAACUUUGUUUCACCUCCACCAGUAGCAAUACUUCCUGCUGGGACGGGAAAUGAUUUGGCUCGAGUUCUUUCUUGGGGUGGUGGCUUGGGUGCAGUUGAGAGGCAAGGAGGUCUUUGCACACUUUUGCGUGAUAUCGAACAAGCCGCGGUAACCAUUCUUGAUCGUUGGAAAGUUUCAGUGUUAAAUCAACAGGGAGAGCUGCUUCAACCUCCAAAGUUCUUGAACAAUUACCUUGGUGUUGGUUGCGAUGCAAAGGUUGCAUUAGAAAUCCAUAAUAUGAGGGAGGAGAACCCCGAAAAGUUUUACAAUCAGUUCAUGAACAAAGUUCUUUAUGCCAGAGAAGGCGCCAAGAGUAUAAUGGAUAGAACUUUUGCAGAUUUUCCAUGGCAAGUUCGUGUGGAGGUUGAUGGUGUUGAGAUUGAAGUUCCUGAGGAUGCAGAAGGUGUUCUUGUAGCCAAUAUUGGAAGCUACAUGGGUGGAGUAGACUUGUGGCAGAAUGAAGAUGAACACUAUGACAAUUUUGAUCCUCAAUCCAUGCAUGAUAAGAUGCUGGAGGUUGUUAGCAUUUCUGGAACGUGGCAUCUUGGGAAGCUUCAGGUGGGGCUUUCCAAAGCUCGGAGGCUUGCACAGGGUCAGUUGAUCAAAAUUCAUCUUUUUGCUGCAUUUCCUGUUCAAAUAGAUGGUGAACCUUGGUAUCAGCAACCAUGUACAUUGACAAUUACUCAUCAUGGACAGGUCUUCAUGCUGAAGAGGGCAGCAGAGGAACCUCUAGGUCAUGCAGCAGCAAUAAUUGCUGAUGUGCUUGAGAAUGCCGAAUCCAAUCAAGUGAUCGACGCUUCACAGAAGCGGGCACUUCUUCAAGAAAUGGCCAUCAGACUUUCUUAGACAUCAAAACAGUGAUUUGUUAGUUUGCAGCAGUAAGUCAAAGUUUUGUAUAAAACCCAUGUCUUCACACACACACACACCGUCUCUUUUUUUUUUGCAUGUUAUUUCUUUUCACGUGUAAAAUAUACUGUAUAUGGAAAUUAGAAUGCUUGUUCAGUUGUUUGUAU